RNAcentral lists this ribosomal RNA (585 nucleotides) under Pseudomonas sp. StFLB030. Its description in RNAcentral is "bacterial SSU rRNA". It matches the Rfam family "Bacterial small subunit ribosomal RNA", at positions 102 to 683 of the family's 1533-position model. RNAcentral also lists the same sequence under 1 other name. The record is from RNAcentral. Lineage: Bacteria; Pseudomonadati; Pseudomonadota; Gammaproteobacteria; Pseudomonadales; Pseudomonadaceae.
ACGGGUGAGUAAUGCCUAGGAAUCUGCCUGAUAGUGGGGGAUAACGUCCGGAAACGGACGCUAAUACCGCAUACGUCCUACGGGAGAAAGCAGGGGACCUUCGGGCCUUGCGCUAUCAGAUGAGCCUAGGUCGGAUUAGCUAGUUGGUGGGGUAAAGGCUCACCAAGGCGACGAUCCGUAACUGGUCUGAGAGGAUGAUCAGUCACACUGGAACUGAGACACGGUCCAGACUCCUACGGGAGGCAGCAGUGGGGAAUAUUGGACAAUGGGCGAAAGCCUGAUCCAGCCAUGCCGCGUGUGUGAAGAAGGUCUUCGGAUUGUAAAGCACUUUAAGUUGGGAGGAAGGGUCGUUACCUAAUACGUGACGAUUUUGACGUUACCGACAGAAUAAGCACCGGCUAACUCUGUGCCAGCAGCCGCGGUAAUACAGAGGGUGCAAGCGUUAAUCGGAAUUACUGGGCGUAAAGCGCGCGUAGGUGGUUUGUUAAGUUGGAUGUGAAAUCCCCGGGCUCAACCUGGGAACUGCAUCCAAAACUGGCAAGCUAGAGUAGGGCAGAGGGUGGUGGAAUUUCCUGUGUAGCGGUG